CCUGAGAUUUGAAGAGAAACAGCUGGAAUGCUACAGAGAGAAGAGUUCACGCUUCUAUCAGGAAAAACUGAACCCUGGUCACUUCAAAAACAACUGAACGACUUGAACAUUCUUAUCCAAAUGCCACAGUUUAAUGCAACAUUGCAUUCUUAAGUGAAGAUAAAUUGAUAAAAUAGAACUGCAGAAACAGAGAACUAAAGAGAUGGAGGCGAUACAGUCUGAUGGAAGAAAAUAGGCAUUUUGUAUUUAACUCAGAGUGCUUUGCAGAGAAAAAAAGGGAUAUCAGUUCGGGGUAUGAUCAUGAGAACUUUGAAUGCAGAAGAUGAAGCCAUGAUGGUGAAGUGCCAUGGAGACACAUGUAUUCAGAGGAGAUCUCUUAUUCCAUGAGACACAUAUAUCAUUGAAUGUCAUCCAUACUUAAUUUAAUCUCCACUUGAUUACAAAUAAGGAUGUCUCCAUUUUUACAUGUUCCCAAGACAGAAGACAUGACUGGAGGGUCAAGUUCUGAUUACUAAAUACUUCCUCUCAGAGGUUCUUUGUAUCACUCCCUCUCAUAUUUCCUGGGCUGUAACAAGGCAUAUGGUCAUAACUAACUUGACUUGAGAGUUUUUUAUAUUUCCCAUACUCUAAAUGUAGAACAG
This is a long non-coding RNA of Canis lupus familiaris (dog), 641 nucleotides long. RefSeq lists it as uncharacterized. NCBI's taxonomy places the organism in Eukaryota, Metazoa, Chordata, Mammalia, Carnivora, Canidae. The record is from RefSeq and is a predicted model, not a curated record. The transcript has 4 exons.